UACGUAGGGUGCGAGCGUUAAUCGGAAUUACUGGGCGUAAAGCGUGCGCAGGCGGCGCCGCAAGUCAGGCGUGAAAUCCCCGAGCUUAACUUGGGAAUGGCGCUUGAAACUACGGUGCUGGAGUGUGGCAGAGGGAGGUGGAAUUCCACGUGUAGCGGUGAAAUGCGUAGAGAUGUGGAGGAACACCGAUGGCGAAGGCAGCCUCCUGGGCCAACACUGACGCCCAUGCACGAAAGCGUGGGGAGCAAACAGG
This 253-nucleotide ribosomal RNA is filed under the name uncultured bacterium. RNAcentral describes it as "partial 16S ribosomal RNA". It matches the Rfam family "Bacterial small subunit ribosomal RNA", at positions 524 to 776 of the family's 1533-position model. The record is from RNAcentral.